RNAcentral lists this ribosomal RNA (503 nucleotides) under uncultured bacterium. RNAcentral describes it as "partial 16S ribosomal RNA". It matches the Rfam family "Bacterial small subunit ribosomal RNA", at positions 28 to 523 of the family's 1533-position model. The record is from RNAcentral.
GAUGAGCGCUAGCGGCAGGCCUAACACAUGCAAGUCGAGGGGUAGCAGGAUUAAGCUUGCUUAAUUGCUGACGACCGGCGCACGGGUGCGUAACGCGUAUGCAACCUACCUUAUACUGGGGUAUAGCCCGGAGAAAUUCGGAUUAAUCCCCCAUAGUACUAAUGAAUCGCAUGGUUUAUUAGUUAAAGCAUUGCGGUAUAAGAUGGGCAUGCGUCCUAUUAGCUAGAUGGUGAGGUAACGGCUCACCAUGGCUACGAUAGGUAGGGGGCCUGGGAGGGUGGUCCCCCACACUGGAACUGAGACACGGACCAGACUCCUACGGGAGGCAGCAGUGAGGAAUAUUGGUCAAUGGGCGCAAGCCUGAACCAGCCAUGCCGCGUGCAGGAAGAAUGCCCUAUGGGUUGUAAACUGCUUUUAUUUGGGAAUAAACCUCUUUACGUGUAGAGAGCUGAAGGUACCAAAUGAAUAAGCACCGGCUAACUCCGUGCCAGCCGCCGCGGUAA